Molecule: non-coding RNA, 5486 nt
Organism: Oryctolagus cuniculus (rabbit)
Lineage: Eukaryota; Metazoa; Chordata; Mammalia; Lagomorpha; Leporidae
Source: RefSeq, a predicted model, not a curated record
UUUUUUUUUCUUUUUGUUUACCUAAGAGGCAGAAUUAGAGAGAGAGAGAGAGAGAGGUCUUCCAUCUGCUGGUUCACUCCCCAAAUGGCCACAGCUGCUGGAGCUGGGCCGAUCCAAAGCCAGGAGCUCCUUCCUGAUCUCCCGCAUGGGCACAGGGGCUCAAGCACUUGGGCCACCCUCUGCUGCCUUCUCAGGCCACCAGUAGGGAGCUGGAUAGGAAGUGGAGCAACCAGGAGUUGAACUGGCACCUAUGUGGGAUGCCGGCACUGCAGGUAGAGGCUUAACCUACUAAGCCACAGCGCCGGCCCCAAAUUCUUUGAACAAAUAUAUGAAAAGCACUUUAGCAGGAGCUGUUGGUACAGAGAUGAGCUCUGCUUGGGUGGUGCUUUGUUCUAGCGGGUGGGCAGGAGGGGCAGCAGGUUACCAGCAAGGACAGGAGACUGCGUGACCUCUGAUGGGGAGAACACGUUUCUGUAUGUAGGUCCAGCAGGAUGACCUUUGAACUGAGUGUGAACGACAAAGAGGAAGCCUGGGGAACGGCUGAGGAAGCGUUCUGGGAAGAGCAGUGAGUAACACGGGAGCCGGGCAAGGUGGCUGCGGGUGGAGUCUGGGCACGGGAGAGGCUGGGGCAGCGGGGCAGCCAGAGGGAUGCGGGCCUCCCUGGUGGACACUCCACAUUUUAACUCUAAGAGCAAUGGGAGACGAUCGAAGGGUUUGAGCAAGCAAGUGACUUGCUCUGAUUUCUGCUUCUAAGAGAUCGCUGUGGCUUCUGUGAGGAGGCGGAUCCUCAGGUGACCAAGAUAGAAUCCAGAGGGGCCAGCACCAUGGUUCACUGGGCUAAUUCUCCACCUGCGGCGCCGGCACCCCGGUUUCUAGUCCCGCUUGGGGUGCCAGUUCUGUCCCGGUUGUUCCUCUUCCAGUCCAGCUCUCUGCUGUGGCCUGGGAGUGCAGUGGGCCCUGCACCCGCAUGGGAGACCAGGAGGAAGCACCUGGCUCCUGGCUUCGGAUCAGCACAGCAUACCGCCUGUAGCAGCCAUUUUGGGGGUGACAAUUUGGGGGUGAACCAACGGAAGGAAGACCUUUCUGUCUCUCUGUCUCUCUCUCUCACUAACUCUGCCUUUCAAAAAAAAAAAAAAAAAAAGAAUCCAGAAAUCCAGAGGGGAGCUUGGAAGCUACGGAAGGAAUCAGGUGAGGGCUGGAGGCGGCCAGGAGGAGGAAGAGCUGUGGCUGGAUCCAGGUUGCCGUUCGGGGAAAGGACUUUGGCUUCCAUUCAGUGUGGACUCUGCUUUGGUAGUGUCCAGAACUGGCCUCCUGGCCCCUUCACCAGUUCACUGGCUUCCCUCACGUAAAUGCUCUGUGUCCAUUUCAAGAACCCAUGGUUUAACAGCCAGCUCACACAAAACUCCUGAGAAGGUGGCGACUGGCUCUCGUUGGCUGUGUUGAGCCGACUCCUCCUCAUCGAUGUCUCCCUCCCACCCACACCUGUUCUUUGACAUCACCCACAGCUGUCUGAGAGAGGAGCUGGCACACAGAGGGCGUCAGGGCUGCGAGAACCACAGGCAGUGGCACUGAAGCCUUAGUGGCACCCAGAACCGCUGGAUCAACCCAUGUCUGAAGGCAGCUGAUCUCCAGGCUUCCCAGCUGUGGAAGCCUGGCCCCACGGGGGAGCCCCAGAACACAAAUCGCGCCACGGAACUGGUCUACAAGUAGAGGCACUCCGUCACCAGCCGAGGUCUGCUGUGGGUGGGGAUGAGGGAUGUAGCUUGUCCUGGUCCACUUGGGCUAUUGUGAUGAGAUAACACCCUGAGCCGGGUGAUUUUGAAGUCACAAUAAUGAACAGAACUUUAAUUCUCACAAUUCUGGCUGGGAAGUUCAAGAUCAUGGAACUGGCAGCAGAUUUAGGUGUAGAAGGGCGCUGAUCCCAGUGGAUACUGCUGUCUACGUAUUCUCACGUGGAGGAGUGAACAAGGCAGCUCCCUGCAACCUCCUUUGCAAAAUCACCAAUUGGCCCAUGACUAAGCCCUCACGACGGAGCCACUUCCCCCAAAGGCUGCACAUCUUACCGCUGUCACUUUGGCUGUUAGGUUCCAGCAUGUGAAUUUUGGAGACAUCAGCAUUGGGACCAAAGCCCUGCACCCCCGCCCCCUCAAAAUUCAUGUUCUCCCGAGCAAAACACAGCCGUUCCAUCCCGGUAGCUCCCCAAGCGCAUGCUUCUUCCAGCACCAACUCCACAUCCGAAGUCUCGUCCAGAUCAGGCAUGGGUGAGACGCAAAGGGGAGCUCUCUUCUGCUGUGAGGCUGUGACAUCCGCCCAGUUUCGUGCUGACAGAAUGCAAAGGGAGGAGUAGGAAAGACGAGGGGGUAAGAGACCUUGGUUACCUGGUGCCCUAUGGCUCCAUGUCGUCUUCCUUGGCGUCAGCUCCCUGCUUCUGGACACACCGGGAGGCUGCAGGUGCUGGCUGGUCUCCACUUCCUCUUCCAAAACUUCGCUGCUGCCCCAUCCGGAGGGGAGCCCGAGUCUCCUCCCUGGGUGGGCCUCGGUGACAGUCCAGACAAACACCAUCACCAGGGGGCCCAGGGCAAAACGAAGAUGCACAGUGCUUUGUUCACAUACGAAGAAUUUCAAGAUGGUGACAGUAGAGUUUGAAACCAAAUAAAGGACUCUUUUUAUUAUUUUUAAGAAUAUUUUAUUGAUUUAUUUUCAUUUUGUUUGAAAGAUGGAGAAGCAGAGAGAGAAAGAUCUUCCACCCACCAGUUCACUUUCCAAAAGCCCUCAAUAGACAGGGCUAGGCCAGGCAGGCAAAAACCAAGAGCCUGGAAUUCAACUUGGAUCUUGGGUGGCAGGGACCCAGGUGCCUGAGCCCUCACUGCUGCCCUCGGGUUGUCCAUCAGCAGGAAGCUGGACCGGGAGUGGAGUCGCUGGGACUCAAAGCAGGCACUCUGAUGUGGGACUGCACGGGUCACCGGACCAUCAGGUUGGCCCCAGAUGGAACCCACUGGAAUGCACUGAGUGACUUCUGACAGUUGUAGUAGUAAUGCAGCACCCGCCCGGGGCCCAGCCGCAGGGAUGUGAGGAACCCAGGCGAGGUUCAGGCGCCACAUGCAGGUGCUGGCCCCCAGCCCCAGCUGAGCUCUCAGCAGCAGCCAGCACUGGGGCAGAUCUUACAGAAGUCCUGAACGGUUCAGGCUCCAGCUGCCGCGUCAUCCCUUGGCUUUGGUCUCUGUGCUCAGACCCUGGAUGUCACCAUUUAGACAAGCUGCGCCCUUUCUGAAUUCCUGACCCACCGAAUCCGUGAGCUCGGGAGUGAUUUGUCACUCAACCAAGGAGGACAGGAUAGCCCCCUCUCCCCCGGCUCGAAUCGGCCCCUCCGUCUCUGAGUUGCUGUGGUUUGGGUUCAAAAGACGCAUUUGAUCUGUUGUCUCAACAUUCUGAACAUAUCCAUUCGGAUAGUGUCUUUCCCACCACGCGAACCAUCAGCAGUGCCGGCCCGAGUCUCUGUUUCCAGGAAACUGGAGUCAGGAGCUAGAGGCAGGCGUGGGACUCGGGUAUUCUGAUGAGGGGCACAGGUGUGCUGCCUGCCAGGCCAAGCGCCCGCUCCCCAGAUCCCACAUCCUUUGUUCAUCCCUCUGUUCUUCCCGGGCCUGCAGUGGGACCUUGUGCAUGGGGGCUGCAGCUCUUCUGAGCAAACCUGGACCAGAGCCCAGAGCAGAAGCAGUGGAGGGUUGAAGAGUAGGGAGGAGGAGAGUCCUUGCCAUGGGUCUGAGGAAGACAACUUUCUAGAAGAGAAGCUCUUGUUUGGAUGUAAUCUGACCAUGCGCUCAGCCGUCGUGGGAAUCAGGCAGCUGCUACAACAGGUGCAAAAAGAGGCCAUUGAUCGGAGAUCUUGACGCCAGUGCACAGAGCGGGGGCGAAAGAGACUUUUUCUGGUGAGGGAAAGGCAGAGCAGUUCGGUGUGGCUGGCAGACGGUGUGCCUGUCUGGGAGGAGCGUUUCUUCAGCAUUGCUAUCCGUGAUCUCCAGCGUACAGAGCCGCACCACAGCUGGGAGGCAGCGGGAGGCAGAGGCGGACAGCCUGGGGUAGAGCGCUCUGCACACCUGUGGCUUCCCCCGCAGCACUAGUCGCAAGGUGCAGGCUGUGCUCCGAGGCAGAGGGCGGAUGUGAAGUGGCAUGAGAGUUCUGGGCUCCGGAAGGUGUCGCUGAGGCUUGCUCUGACAAGCGGUGUCCAGGCUGCUUCUGGAGAAAGAAACAUUGUGAUAGACGUGGUGAGGCACAGUUGGAUCUUCUGGGAGCAGUCAAGGAAUGGAAACUUUGUGUCGUUGUCCCGUGAGUAAACCAUCUUACAACUGGAUCCUCCAGUCUCAGAUGACACCUUGACUGCAACUUAGGAGAGACCCUGCCACCAUUGCCUAAGGGAAUCCUGGGGAAUAAAACUAACUACACCAUUGCAAGAGAAGCUGUGCUCAGUUUUGGGUACCAUCAUCCACAAAAUCUUUCCAGGAAAGACAAGGAAUAAAAUGUAAGUGUUGUUCAAUCUUAGGACCUUUGAGGAAGCUACAAAAAACUGACUUGCUAAGCCCGGAAAAGUAAAACAAUUGAUGCUUUCUUAAAAAAAAGAGAUUCAUUUUAUUUUAUUUAUUUGAAAGACAGAGUUACAGAGCGAGGUAGAGACACAGAGAGUCUUCCAUCUGCUGGUUCACUCCCUAAAUGUCUGCAACAGCAGGAACUGAGCCAAUCUGAAGCCAGGAGCCAGGAGCCAGGAGCUUCUUCCAGGUCUCCCACGAGGGUGCAGGGGCCCAAGGACUUGGGCCAUUUUCCAUUGCUUUCCCAGGCACAUUAGCAGGGAGCUGGAUUGGAAGUAGAACAGCCAAGACUUGAACUAGCACCCAUAUGGGAUGCCAGUGCUACAGGCCAGGGCCUUAACCCACUGUGCCACAGUGCCAGUCCCAACAAUUGACACUUUCUUGAGUGAAUUAAAAGUUCAGUGUGUAGGAGAAUAGCCUCUCCCAACACUUUUUAAAAAAGAUUUAUUUAUUUGAAAGGCAGAGUUACAGAGAGGCUGAGGCAGUGAGAAAGAGGGAGAGAGGUUCUCCAUCUGCUGUUCCACUUCCCAAAUGGCCACAAUGGCUGGUUGUACGAGGCCAAACCAGAAGCCAGGAGCUUCCUCUGGGUCUCCCAUAUGAGUGCAGGGGCCCAAGGAUUUGGGCCAUCUCCCACUGCAUUCCCAGGCCAUAGCAGAGAGCUGGAUGGGAAGUGGAAUAACUGUGCUCAUUUGGGAUGCCGGCACUGUAGACUGGGGCUUUAACCUACUACGCCGCUGCAUUGGCCCCAUCUCCCAACACUCUUACUCAUGAAAGUGACUUGAGAAAAGUCUUGAAGGGACCAAAGACCUGUGUUUAAAACCAGGUGGCUAGGGACUGACGCUGUGGCUCAGCGGGUUAACACCCUGGCCUGAAGUGCCAGCAUCCCAUAUGGGCGCCGGUUCAAGU